This 468-nucleotide ribosomal RNA is filed under the name uncultured bacterium. RNAcentral's name for it is "partial 16S ribosomal RNA". It matches the Rfam family "Bacterial small subunit ribosomal RNA", at positions 28 to 507 of the family's 1533-position model. The record is from RNAcentral.
GACGAACGCUGGCGGCGUGCUUAACACAUGCAAGUCGAACGGAAAGGCCCUGCUUUUGUUGGGUGCUCGAAUGGCGAACGGGUGAGUAACACGUGAGUAACCUGCCCUAGACUUUGGGAUAACUUCAGGAAACUGGGGCUAAUACCGGAUAGAAGCUUCUGCUGCAUGGUGGGGUUUGGAAAUAUUCCGCAGUUGGGGCUGGACUGGCAGCUUCUCAGCUUGUUGGUGUGGUAGUGCCUUACAAACGAUUUGACGCGUAGCCCGGACGACAGGGUGAACGGGCUCAGUGGGACUGGAAGAGGGCCCAAACUCUUACGGUAGGGCACGAUGGGGAAUAUUGUGUAAUGGACUGAAGUCUGAUGCAGCAACUCCGCGUGCGUGAUGACGGCCUUCGUGUUGUAAACCGCUUUCGGAUGUUACGAAGCGUGAAUGACGGUAAUGGGUAAAGAAGCACCGGCUAACUACGUG